This 398-nucleotide ribosomal RNA is filed under the name uncultured bacterium. RNAcentral describes it as "partial 16S ribosomal RNA". It matches the Rfam family "Bacterial small subunit ribosomal RNA", at positions 523 to 918 of the family's 1533-position model. The record is from RNAcentral.
AUACGUAGGGGGCGAGCGUUGUCCGGAAUUACUGGGCGUAAAGAGCUCGUAGGUGGUUUGUCGCGUCGUCUGUGAAAUUCCGGGGCUUAACUCCGGGCGUGCAGGCGAUACGGGCAUAACUUGAGUACUGUAGGGGAGACUGGAAUUCCUGGUGUAGCGGUGAAAUGCGCAGAUAUCAGGAGGAACACCGGUGGCGAAGGCGGGUCUCUGGGCAGUAACUGACGCUGAGGAGCGAAAGCAUGGGUAGCGAACAGGAUUAGAUACCCUGGUAGUCCAUGCCGUAAACGGUGGGCGCUAGGUGUAGGGGUCUUCCACGACUUCUGUGCCGUAGCUAACGCAUUAAGCGCCCCGCCUGGGGAGUACGGCCGCAAGGCUAAAACUUAAAGGAAUUGACGGGG